AUACGGCCAUAUCAGACUGAAACACCGGUUACCGUACGAUUACCGAAGUUAAGCAAAGUCGAGCCUGAUGUUUAACUAGAUGGGUGACCGUGUAGGAAUACUAUCUGC
Acanthosepion pharaonis is the source of this 108-nucleotide non-coding RNA. The record is from the annotation of a GenBank genome assembly. NCBI's taxonomy places the organism in Eukaryota, Metazoa, Mollusca, Cephalopoda, Sepiida, Sepiidae.